This 279-nucleotide ribosomal RNA is filed under the name uncultured bacterium. RNAcentral describes it as "partial 16S ribosomal RNA". It matches the Rfam family "Bacterial small subunit ribosomal RNA", at positions 506 to 784 of the family's 1533-position model. The record is from RNAcentral.
UGCCAGCCGCCGCGGUAAUACGGAGGGUGCGAGCGUUAAUCGGAAUUAUUGGGCGUGAAGGGCGCGCAGGCGGUCUUGUCCGUCAGGUGUGAAAGCUCGGGGCUCAACCCCGGAAGUGCACUUGAAACAGCAAGACUUGAAUACGGUAGAGGAGAGAGGAAUUCCUGGUGUAGAGGUGAAAUUCGUAGAUAUCAGGAGGAACACCGAUGGCGAAGGCAUCUCUCUGGGUCGAUAUUGACGCUGAGGAGCGAAGGCGUGGGUAGAGAACGGGAUUAGAUA